GCCUGGGUGGCGGAAUUGGUAGACGCUGGGGACUCAAAAUCCCCUGGCCUAUAAGGCCGUGAGGGUUCGACUCCCUCCCCAGGCA
Molecule: transfer RNA, 85 nt
Filed under: bacterium
Lineage: Bacteria
Description: tRNA-Leu
Rfam family: tRNA
About the family: Transfer RNA (tRNA) molecules are approximately 80 nucleotides in length. Their secondary structure includes four short double-helical elements and three loops (D, anti-codon, and T loops).
Source: RNAcentral